GCUUGUAGUAUAAAUGCACACUCUUAGGGUGACCUAAGCAGCUUUAAAUUAGAGGUAACCCCACCCACUGCAGGCCUCAUUGAGAAAGUAUUCAUUAGAAAUAAUAAACAGGAUCCACUGUGUAUUUGAAGUUAGAAACUUUGCCCCCAGGAAGAUAAAUUUUUUUCUCAAAAAUGUUACUGGCUAAGUGGUUAACUAACCACUAAGGAUACAUUUUCAGAGCAGAGGUAAAUAGAUUAUAAUGUUGCAGUAUGUAUCAAUGGAGUCCCGACUGUAGUAGGAAGAAGCUGUAUUUCUUAUUUUCCGUCUCCUAACACCGGAGAAGAGUGCCAGACUUAAUAGCAGAUGUGAAAGGUCACUCAUACUUUUUUAUUGUAAUUUUUUGCCUAGGAAGAAAAAGUUGCAGCCGAAAGAAAUAUUAGAACUGACAGAAAUACAUUUAGUAAGGUAUUUCCUGUAUAAGAUAGGAAUUAACAAAUAUAUGGGAGAAAACAGAUUCCAGGAAUGUAGUUAAAUAUUACUCCUUUUGGAAGGAGUAAUAUUUAAAUAGCCUGGAAAAUAUUUGAGCUUGAAUACAGCAUUGCAGUUUCUUGUAGAGACGCAGCUUAAUUUAAAAACUAUUAAAUAAUAGAUCUUGCAGGGAAAGAAUUUGAUAUGUCUUUUAUACCGACUGCAUGCUUUAGAAGUAUUUUCAGUGACUUUUUUUAGAAGUCUUACAUGGGGCUGGG
This 728-nucleotide long non-coding RNA is filed under the name Marmota monax (woodchuck). Lineage: Eukaryota; Metazoa; Chordata; Mammalia; Rodentia; Sciuridae. The record is from RNAcentral.